RNAcentral lists this unclassified non-coding RNA (277 nucleotides) under sea anemone metagenome. RNAcentral describes it as "partial contains small subunit ribosomal RNA and internal transcribed spacer 1". The stretch from base 1 to 154 matches the Rfam family "Eukaryotic small subunit ribosomal RNA", at positions 1678 to 1831 of the family's 1831-position model. The record is from RNAcentral.
GCACCUACCGAUUGAAUGGUUCGGUGAAAAUCUCGGACUGCGGCUUGGAUGCCUUCGGGCAACCAAGCUGUGGAAAGUUGUUUAAACCUCAUCAUUUAGAGGAAGGUGAAGUCGUAACAAGGUUUCCGUAGGUGCACCUGCAGAAGGAUCAAGAUCGGAAGAGAAGACGGCGGAACUCCAGUCACGUGGUCAGAACAGGGAUGCCGGCUGCUGGUUGUAAAAAUAUCAUAGCACAGCUAUCAGAUCGUGCGGUAGUGCAUACAUGGUGAGGCCUUCU